UACGAAGGGGGCUAGCGUUGUUCGGAAUUACUGGGCGUAAAGGGCGCGUAGGCGGUACUUCAAGUCAGGCGUGAAAGCCCCGGGCUCAACCUGGGAACCGCGCUUGAGACUGGAGAACUAGAGUUCGGGAGAGGAUGGUGGAAUUCCCAGUGUAGAGGUGAAAUUCGUAGAUAUUGGGAAGAACACCCGUGGCUAAGGCGGCUCUCUAGUACGGUACUGACGCUGAGACGCGAAAGCGUGGGGAGCGAACAGG
RNAcentral lists this ribosomal RNA (253 nucleotides) under uncultured bacterium. Its description in RNAcentral is "partial 16S ribosomal RNA". It matches the Rfam family "Bacterial small subunit ribosomal RNA", at positions 524 to 776 of the family's 1533-position model. The record is from RNAcentral.